UUUUUUUUUUUUUACACUGCUUUCUGCCCUUACAACACUCACACACCUCCUGGAAGGAUAAGAUAGGCAGCUUCUCUCUUGCUUCAUCCCUCAGCUUAUUUCCCUCAUCUCUCCCUUGCUUCUUCCCUCAUCUUAUUUCUCCUUUUAUUGAGAAGCAGUAAGCUAGUGCAGGCGCUUGGAACACACCCCGGUGCAUCUGCAUCCAAUCCUGACACUUUGGCUGGGAGAGAGGAGAAGGAGGUUGGGUUCUGCUGUCCACCAGCCAAGGACUCCCCAGGGCUGCAAGAAGCCUUCAAUCUGCUCCGGAUUCUCUCUGCAGCAAAAAAGGUUUUGGUGAACAGUUGUGGAAUGGACUGA
Molecule: long non-coding RNA, 357 nt
Filed under: Anas platyrhynchos platyrhynchos (common mallard)
Lineage: Eukaryota; Metazoa; Chordata; Aves; Anseriformes; Anatidae
Description: lncRNA (ENSAPLG00000022905.1)
Source: RNAcentral